Molecule: non-coding RNA, 529 nt
Organism: Notechis scutatus (mainland tiger snake)
Lineage: Eukaryota; Metazoa; Chordata; Lepidosauria; Squamata; Elapidae
Source: RefSeq, a predicted model, not a curated record
AAUUCUAAUGAAAAGCAUAGUUAAGAUCCACAUCCAAAAUCCAGACAAAUUAUUAAGAAUCGUACCGUACACUGCAGGAAAAAAGGAUUUAAUAUGAUGUCAGUGUACCAGCACAUGUUGUUUAGCAUUGCGUUUCUGAGAAGAUUUGCAACAUCUUACACAGAAACCUUUUUGCUUCCUGCUGCCGCCAAAUAUGUUAAUGGACAUCAAGAAAAGAUGUAUAUAUGGCCAGAACUAGAGAAAAAGCAUUAGGAAAUUUAAGGCUCAGGAUGUAAUUUUAGCCCACAGAAGCAGUUUCCAAAUGAUGGGAAGCAAAGUGCAACUCUAUUUUGCUUUGGUCAUACUUCAUCCUAAGUACUGUGUGCUAUUCUGGAUUUCUUUCUUAUCCCACAGGCCAGGUUACAGAAUAAUGGGUUUAGAUUACAAGAAGGAUGUUUCUAAUUAAAUGUGAGGAGAAAAUCUCCUACAUUAAGAGUAACAAAAUAAUUGGCUCAGGGGUGGUGGACUCCAUUUUGCUAGAGAUGUCUAA